GACGAACGCUGGCGGCGUGGAUUAGGCAUGCAAGUCGAACGGUAUCAUCCUUUCGGGGGUGAGAGAGUGGCGAACUGGUGAGUAACACGUAGGUUAUCUACCCUCAAGACGGGGACAACCCAGGGAAACUUGGGCUAAUACCGGAUGUGAGCAACUUUUAGUUGUUUGAAAGGUGGCGUAAGCUGUCGCUUGGGGAUGAGCCUGCGUCCUAUUAGUUAGUUGGUGAGGUAACGGCUCACCUAGGCAAUGAUAGGUAGGCGGCCUUAACGGGUGGUCGCCCACACUGGGAUUGAGAUACGGCCCAGACUCCUACGGGAGGCAGCAGUCGAGAAUAGUCUACAAUGGUCGGAAGACUGAUAGUGCGACGCCGCGUGAACGAUGAAUCCCUUCGGGGUGUAAAGUUCUUUUAUAUGUGAGCAGUGCUUCUUAUAUUAACAGUAUGGGGAGAGAGAUAUUAGCAUAUGAAUAAGCAACGGCUAACUCCGUGCCAGCAGCCGACGGUAAUAC
Molecule: ribosomal RNA, 507 nt
Filed under: uncultured bacterium
Lineage: Bacteria
Description: bacterial SSU rRNA
Rfam family: Bacterial small subunit ribosomal RNA
Source: RNAcentral